Molecule: ribosomal RNA, 253 nt
Filed under: uncultured bacterium
Lineage: Bacteria
Description: partial 16S ribosomal RNA
Rfam family: Bacterial small subunit ribosomal RNA
Source: RNAcentral
UACGGGGGGGGCAAGCGUUGCUCGGAAUUACUGGGCGUAAAGGGCUCGUAGGCGGCCAACUAAGUCGGUUGUGAAAUCCCCAGGCUUAACCUGGGAACUGCAUCCGAUACUGGAUGGCUUGAAUCCGGGAGAGGGAUGCAGAAUUCCAGGUGUAGCGGUGAAAUGCGUAGAUAUCUGGAGGAACACCGGUGGCGAAGGCGGCAUCCUGGACCGACACUGACGCUGAGGAGCGAAAGCCAGGGGAGCAAACGGG